ACGGGACCCGCACAAGCGGUGGAUGAUUGUGGUUUAAUUCGAUGCAACGCGAAAAACCUUACCCACCUUUGACAUGGCAGGAAUCCUAAAGAGAUUUGGAGUGCUCGAAAGAGAACCUGCACACAGGUGCUGCAUGGCUGUCGUCAGCUCGUGUCGUGAGAUGUUGGGUUAAGUCCCGCAACGAGCGCAACCCUUGCCAUUAGUUGCUACGAAAGGGCACUCUAAUGGGACUGCCGGUGACAAACCGGAGGAAGGUGGGGAUGACGUCAAGUCCUCAUGGCCCUUAUAGGUGGGGCUACACACGUCAUACAAUGGCCGGUACAGAGGGUAGCCAACCCGCGAGGGGGAGCCAAUCCCACAAAGCCGGUCGUAGUCCGGAUCGCAGUCUGCAACUCGACUGCGUGAAGUCGGAAUCGCUAGUAAUCGCGGAUCAGCAUGUCGCGGUGAAUACGUUCCCGGGUCUU
Molecule: ribosomal RNA, 464 nt
Filed under: uncultured Allobrachymonas sp.
Lineage: Bacteria; Pseudomonadati; Pseudomonadota; Betaproteobacteria; Burkholderiales; Comamonadaceae
Description: bacterial SSU rRNA
Rfam family: Bacterial small subunit ribosomal RNA
Source: RNAcentral